Long non-coding RNA from Bufo bufo (common toad), 618 nucleotides. RefSeq lists it as uncharacterized. Lineage: Eukaryota; Metazoa; Chordata; Amphibia; Anura; Bufonidae. The transcript has 2 exons. The record is from RefSeq and is a predicted model, not a curated record.
AUAUAUAUAUAUAUAUAUAUAUAUAUCCUGUGUUAUAUACCGCCCGUACAGACAUAUUUACAUACAUCCCGUGUUAUAUACCGCCCGUACAGAUAUAGUUACAUGCAUCCCAUGUUAUAUACCGCCCGUACAGACAUAUUUACAUACAUCCCAUGUUAUAUACCGCCCGUACAGACAUAUUUACAUACAUCCCAUGUUAUAUACCGCCUGUACAGAUAUAGUUACAUGCAUCCCAUGUUAUAUACCGCCCGUACAGACAUAUUUACAUACAUCCCGUGUUAUAUACCGCCUGUACAGAUAUAUUUACAUGCAUCCCAUGUUAUAUACCGCCCGUACAGAUAUAGUUACAUGCAUCCCAUGUUAUAUACCGCCCGUACAGACAUAUUUACAUGCAUCCCAUGUUAUAUACCGCCCGUACAGACAUAUUUACAUGCAUCCCAUGUUAUAUACCGCCCGUACAGAUAUAGUUACAUGCAUCCCAUGUUAUAUACCGCCCGUACAGACAUAUUUACAUACAUCCCGUGUUAUAUACCGCCCGUACAGACAUAUUUACAUACAUCCCGUGUUUUAUACCACCCGUACAGACAUAUUUACAUACAUCCCGUGUUAUAUACCGCC